Bombus pyrosoma is the source of this 8252-nucleotide long non-coding RNA. RefSeq lists it as uncharacterized. The transcript has 8 exons. Lineage: Eukaryota; Metazoa; Arthropoda; Insecta; Hymenoptera; Apidae. The record is from RefSeq and is a predicted model, not a curated record.
CGCGAUCACGACUCGCGUAAUUUCCGAGGAGGUCGUCGGGCUAGGAUGUUUCUCGAGUUCCGGCGCCACGCCUCGGAGUCAACGUUCCCGUGGAAAAGGCGAGGAAGGAAGGGGCAAAACCCGGUGGCCGAAGGUCCAACGCGAACGAGCGACUUUAGAAAAGACGGGGACAGAGCUGAAACUCGAGGUGGCGCUUGUAGCGCGACGAUAUCCUUCAAAAGCGACUCGACUUAUAUUAUAGAAGUAAGCCAAAGAAGUAGCGCGCUAUAGCGAAAGAAAGGAAGAGAUGAACGAGGAUGGCACAACUCCCUCGCUUCUGCGGCUGGUGCAAUCGAGUUAUUUCGCAUUGAGUAACGUCUGACGUAACUACAGAGCUGGAGAACGUGGAACCGGUUCUUCCGAAUUUUGUCAAAAUCACAACGAUGUAAAAAGUCGAAGAUGAAACGAUACGACAGACCUAUCUUUGGCUUUCUGUCCGAUUAUCGUACGUAAGAGACUCUAGACGAUCAACGUACAAUACGCGUUGUUUAGCUGGAAACGCUCAAGUAUCUGGUAAAAUACGAACGAUACGGACAAAUUUUUCGGAUAGAUAGUCGUAUGGUAUUUAUUAUCUGUUUGACCUGGCGAUGACCCUGACCUUCGUCCUAGGCGAAAGGUAAAGGCGACUAUUGUUGAGAUUUUUAUACGGAUAUCACCAUUUCUGAACGUUAUCAAAACAAACAACAAACUCUUAUCUUGCGCGUGCCGCCUGCAUUAAUGUGACCCGAUCUACACCACGGGGACGCGUGAACGUGUUUCUCAUAGCGGUGCUAUUAUUGAUUGCUAUGGUAUCGGCGAAAUGCAAGCUUUCCAACAUUCCCAAAACAGUCAUUCUCUAUUCGUUCUUCCAAGCACAGAGAUCCUACUCUCGUGCGUGAUUUUACGCGUACGCGUACAUACAUCUUUCGUUGGUUUUUCUUUUUGGAGGGAAAGCAAGUUAUAAGUAUAUAACGUCCAUAUUUUUCAAGAAGGACAGUUGCACAGUUUGCAAUUUACAUUGUCGUUAGUAAAAUACGUAAUACCCUUGACGCUUAUCGUGCAUCCAACUUUACGCGAUAGCGUUAAUCGGGCCGGGGGUUCUUUCGUAGGUAAGAGAGGCACACUCGGGCCCAAGUAUCUUGCAUCUCUUUUCUCUUUCAUCUAAGCCUGCGAGGUAUACAUAAUACUAAUAUAGAUAUCGUUAUUCGAGUUCGUAACCUACCCAAUCCUAUUUCACGCUUCGUUCGUUGUGUACUUUAAUUGCGUAUUUCGUUGAUCACGCGGCCGCUAACGACCGUAAGAAAUAGUUGACGCGACCUUGAAUAAAAAAUAAAGAAGCAACAAAAAGGAAAACAUCGAUCGUUCGUUUAGAUUUCGUGGAUCGGACGUCUGCGUUGCACAGGAAUGCUAACGGCCGCGUGUACGCACACCUUUUCCGGGACAGCGCGAAGCGGUAAGCCCUUUGGGAAUAAUUCUUCCGCGUACACGAGGCCGUGGAAAACAAAACCCGAUCACGUAGGUGCGCGCAUGGGCGUGAGUAUGCUCGCGACAACGUGUCCCGUUUUUGAAAUCGCCCCUACGUGAUCGAGGUAGAUCCGCUUGAAUUUCUCAGGAGGCAAGCGAUUAGCAAUCGGCCGUACGGAGACUCUGCCAAAGAUUACCAACGAGUUACGGCCCGAUAUUCUUGUCUGUUUUUUAAAUUUUACGUUGGAUUCGGUCACCAACCGAAUGCUAAUUUGCCCCAACUUACAUAACCAACACACGCGUAGCUGCGAAAGCUAAUCAAAUUUCAUGGUUCUACGCUCGUUCUUCUCCUCCUCCUCCUCCUCCUCCUCCUCCUCCUCCAUCUCCUCCUCCAUCUCCUGUUAUUCUUAUCGAAAGAAUAUACGAUGAGUCAGAGCUUGGAACAUGAAAUGAAAAGUCGUUCGAUCGAUUUAGUUGACUCCGUUCGACGUGUACUUCCAAAUAUCGUUAAAAUAUCCGUGAACGGCCAUUCGAGUCCUUUUCGUUGUGCGUAAACACGGUGUUUGCAGUUAAACGAGAGAGAGGACGAGAGAGGGCAGCACGCAUCCAAUGUUUGCAACGUUCAGUCGAUUCGAACGUUCGGAUGCGUUUAAGGACUGCGAGCUUCGUACAGUUCGACUUUCGAAGGUAUACGUACAUAACUCUGUGUAUUUAUAUAUGCAUUUAUGUCAGAGAAUUUGAACACGGACGCGUAUAAGCGAGCAAAGUAGCAAGGAGCGCACGAACGAGCGAUCCCCGGCUUGGAAUCGCUUGCGCAACGGCUUGAGCUCAUACCGGGUACGAGCGGAUGAACUUUUCCGUAUUGGGAAUGCUUAUGAAAUAAUCUACGAGGAGGAUCGGCCGCUUAAAGGUUCGUUCGCGUCUUUCACCAGCUUACAGGACUCGUAAGAAAAAGAGAAAGGAUGAAAUACUAAUACUGGUUACGUUCCUUCCGAGGAUACGCCUUUCGUUUCGUUAUCAUUGGGAAGAAUUUGGAACGUGUUGAAAUUCGACAACUUUACGACACGGAAGUGACAAGAUGGCGCGUAGGAUUUGAAAAAUUGUUGGCGGGUAAAUAUUCUCGGUGGAGUCGAAGUGGUUGCGGAAUAGGUUAUGUGCGUGGCGCGCGAGCUAAGCCAAUCGAGUUGCGCAAAAGAUAUGGUACAAGUGGAUGAGAGGAAGACGGUACCGACAGCUAUCGGGACGAAGAGGAUCGCCAGAAGAAAUUCUCAGUGGCGUAACGUCGACCUCUCGUCUGUUCUCUCUACUCCCUCCUGUUCGAGACCGUUUUCCCUUUAUACCGUCGAUGCCGGGGUCCCGAUAUCGCUGCUCCAUCGCGAUGCGCUCGUGUGCCGUCGCCUUGGUCGUCGCUAACCGUUGCCGCCGUGCCGCCGUGCCGCUGUGCCACCGCGAGGAAACGAGACGAGCGGUUAGAAAAGAAAGGAGGGACCGGGACAGGAUGAGAAAGGCGAGGAGAAGAGUUCUCCGAGAGUUCAUCGCUUAUUAUGUAAGCAACCUCGGAACGUAAGUGCACGGGGAUUGCUUGGAUACACGGAUACACGGAUACACGGAUACACGGAUCUACGCUGCGGUCUGCAUCCGUGUUCUGUUUCCUCGUACGAAGCGCAUCUUCUUUUCUGACUCGACGAAGAAAUAGGAGAAGAGGAAAAAAGGAGCGUGGCUUGGUGGUAGUGGAAGGAUCGUUUUUCGUUUCUUCUGGACAAAGUCGACCACCAUAGAAAGGGGAAAAGCCACGAAGACAAAGUUUCUCGCGUGCUUGGCGAACCCGCUGUCACGGACCGCUACCCUCUGGGAGUCAGACAACCGUCCGGAAUAACCGAAGCUGUCCGGACGACCGUCGCAUCGAAAAUCCUCGCGAAACUGAUGGAUCGUGGAAACUGAUGGAAAUGGCUAGCCCUUGGAACGCGGCGAUAUUAAUUUUUCCAAUAAGAAACAGAUAUGGCUUCCAACGUGCAUCGGCCGGCUUACCUAGACGACCCCUUUAGAGGGUGUGACCCUGCUGAUCGAAAUCGUUGGUUCGUUGAACGUUCGGAUCAAACAAAUGGAUCGAUGCAAGGAUCGUAGGAACAUGGAAGAGUAACGUUUCACGGCAUAAGGACGUUCGGAGGAGUUCAAUGUUGGCCGAAUAUUUGACGCGACGAUCGAACGCGACAACGACGCAAUUGCGGGAAAAAAGAAAAAAGAAAAAAGGAAAAAAAGAAUUACGGACCUAUGUUACGGAUUAAAGGCUCGGUGAGCUCUUCCGGAUCGUUUAAAGACGGACGAUCGAGGUUCUUCGUUUCAUCGGCUCGUGGCAGUUGAACAAAUUUUCACGGCCCCGUGAUUCCGUUACGCGAUCCCAUAUGGGAAUAGCCCGCGGUUUUAAGAAGCCGUGGCGUGGACGACAGGAAAGACAGACGAGGAGAGAAAAGUUUAGUAAUGCACGUUGGUGUUGGCGCAAUCGAGGAAUUCCUCCUGUGAGUCGAAGGAAGGAAAUUGCGUUGCCCAAUUAGAAAUCGCGGGAGACCGCAGAAAGAAAGGCCAAGAGAGAGCGAGCGAUCUACGUGGAAGAAGGAGAGAGCAAAGCUGCGGAGGGGGAGAGCGAGAGACAGAGGAAGGGAAAAAGGUUUCGAAACAUCGUACAUACAUACUAAGUUGCCACGUUUGUACGAUUAUCUAAUUCCGUGUACCUUUUGCUUGUUUAAAUGCACGCGCACGCGCCUACCCAUUUUCUCAAUUUCAUCGCCUAUACCGAUUCGCUCGGGUAGCGCGACUUGUAUCUUUUAUUCGAAUCUUGGAUCGAUCGCCGCUGUCGGCCAGAUUAAUAUCGACGCGAUAAAAAUUAAUCGCCGCAGUUUCUCUCUCAGUUUACGUUCAGCCGAUCGUCAUAUCGCGUAAUUCCGCCAUCUAGAUUUCGUUUCGGUGUCUCGAAUUUUCACCUAGACGAAUUUAUCGUUAUCCUCAGCUAUUCUCCCACCCUCUCUCUCUCAAUUAUAUGUUAUUUGUACGCAAUUCAACUUUUACGGAACUUAGUCCUACUAAGGUCGAGAUGUUCGUGUUCAGAGUUGAAAGAGUGUUUCAAACGAAUCUUGUUCCGUUUCGAGUCGUCAAACUUUCCGUCUUUUACGACGAUCAUCGCGUUCGUCUAGGCAAAGUUUUUUUUAAAUAAACCUGUACGUUCUUCUGUACGCUGUUCGAUGCAGCUUUUAACUCUCCUACUUGUAUCUGAAAACGCUCGGUUCAAUUGAUAUUUCAAUGUUAAUUUCAUCGAAUCGUCAAGCGUACGAAAGAAAAGGAAAAUAUAAACAUGAAAACACUGUCUUAUCUCUCCUUGUCUUUCACGCGAUAAGCCUUACAAGAUUAGAGUUAAAAUAUCUUUUAAAUUAAUCGUCUUUCGAUUCAAGUGCCUGAACACCUUUUCCUUGACAAUUGAAAAAUGCAUCGAAAAGAAAUUGAUACAGAGAGUAUGGAAAGGGCCCCCCCUCCCAUGUACGAUGCCAAUAAAUUAAUAGAUUUACAAUAAAUUAAAAAAAAAAAAAAGUUUGUUUGAAAUAUUUACGUACAACGGUAUAGGCAGAAGAAAUUUGUCAACAAUAUAAAACAACUAACGCUGUCUUUGUAUAAUAUAGAGUAACACGUGAAGACACUCUUAACGUUUCAAGGAUGAGAAUAUCGAUUAUUAAUCCCGUGAGAUACGAAGAAACAAUGAUAUAUCCUUAUCGCGUAUUAUAUACCUAGCGUUAUCGCGUUCUUAAAAAGAAAGAAAUUUCUCUUGCGCGAAUGUAAUUUUUCAUCGGACGAACAAAAGUUUGACGAACAUUGUCUAAUCUUUAAGCGAUAUCCGUACGUUACCUCUACGUAUUAAAAUAGCAAGUGAUUAUGAACGACGUUCUAUCGGAUAUCGGAACGUAGAUGUUCCGUGUGUAUAUGUAUAAUUAUAAAAACUUUGAAAUCCGUAACAGUCGAAGGAGAAUGUCCGCUUCGUUUGCCUGAUCGACAGAGAAAGUUCAAUAUCUUUAUCCAAAAUAUCGUUCGACCAAAACACUAUCGUAUAUCCGACUAUUGCAUAUCUAGUAGCUGAUAUCGCUCAACGUUUGCGACAAAGAUGUUGGUGGUAUCUUGCGGGACGGCAUACCGACGUACGUUAACGUUUACUGAUCGUAAACGAUCUAUUUAUGGGUCAAAAUAAUUUGAUAAAAAGAAAUGUUACGCGAUCGCGACGCGAGCGCAUCUUCCAAGGACUGUGUCUAGUUGAGAGAUUCGAGGCUUUCACAGGCGAUCACCGAUCGUCCUACGUGCUUGACAGCUGUUGGGGACUGUCGGCUAGAAGCUGAGUCCAGCAGGAAUUUCUGUCCGACGUUUCGCCGGCGUUACAGCUAUCUUGUUCGGGGUCUAAAAACCCAGGUACGUACACGGUGAACACCGAUCGGCAUUAAGCGCAUAUCUAAUUAAACGACGAGGUCGUAGACACCGUAACAACGAUCGUUGGACGUAAAAUCUGUUACUUUUUCGAUUCCACCGUGCUGCGGGCCCAGCUUACGAGCGUUAUUGUCUAAAAAAUGUACAAGUUUGAGUGGAUUAAGCGGGCAUUAAUUCCGCGAGUAUGAUGCACUCGAAUGGUAAAUGUUCUUACUCCACAAACAGGAGAACGGAUGAUGGAAACUAGUCUCUGGGAUUCACCAAGUUCCUCCUCUAAUCCACGGCUCUCCAUCUCCUUCUACUCGUACAGCCGCUCUUCCACCUUCUCCUUCUGUGUUCUUAAGCGAUUACGCCACGGCGUCUCUCACCUCCGUCUAAUCCUGUAUUAUAAUGUACGGCGUGCGCGCACACACACACACACACACACACACACACACACACUCGCGCUCGCGCGCGCGAAAACACAAAGAUUGGAAACGAGGCGACUAAAGUCGAACAAAACGGAAUCGAAAAAAUCAAAGUUGAAGGAGAAGUGGAAGUGAAACGAAACUGUAAGUGGGAAGACGGAAGAAAUGGAGAAAAAGAAAGAUUAGGAAAAUGGGAAGGUAGAGUGACCGAUCGAGGGAAGAAAGAAGAGAAGAGCAGUGAAAACAAAGGGAAAGGGAUGUGCGGAGGAAAGAGGCGAUGAACGAGGAUAAUAAUUGACAUAAAUAAAGUAGGAAGCGCGCAGAGCAAAAUGAGACGGAGAGGAGGAGGAAAGGAGAGACAGAAGAAGAAGAAGAGAAGGGACCUUUGGACGAUGGAGGGGAUCGACGUCGUUUCAGUCGUCCUCCCGGAUGUGCAGCAUCAUUACACGGCAUUCUUCGAGGCUGCAAGAUCUCCCUUUCUUUCUUCCUUCGGCCGAUGCGUUGACGUAACCGCGACAAAGCAAAUUCCUCUUCCCAAGACGCGAAACGCUCAGAAUUCUGAUCGGUCUGGUUUCAACUGUGUACUUUGAACGGCUGUUGUAACGAAGGGUAUUUUCAAAACCGACGAUUCCUUCAUGCACGUGACUUUGUACGUUUCCAAGCGAGCCUCCGAGUCUGUAAAACCAAGCGACUUUGAGUCUGUAAAAAAUAACUUGAAAGAUCGUUUGAACGUUGUUACGCGAUGUAUCGUGUAUCUGUUCGAAAGCUAGAACAAAUUUCAUCUUUAGCUCGAUCGAGUCCGAGGCCUAAGUAAGUCGAAUCGACGAUAGCCCAAGUCAGUUUCUUUGACAUUUUGAUUUUGAUUUUCGUUGCAAUUCGCUUUCCCUGCCAAUAGCUCCAAUUUUCUGCCACGUACACGUACGACCCUCUCGCCAAUCUGCCUCCUAAUACACUAUUUAUAUUCUCCUUCCAUUUGUCAUUUCCUCUCUCUCUCUCUCUCUCUCUCUCUCUCUCUCUCUCUGUCUCCCUCGAAAGUUUUAUCUUUCCCCGGUAUUUUAUAUCGCAAGACGAAUACGACACGUGUGAUUUUACCAAAUAUCGUAGUAGAAAUAUCAAGUUGUAAAUGAUUUUUUUUUUUUUUUUAAUGCGACGCACAGAGUUAAAGACGAUGUUAUUGGGUGAGCCGGAUUUUCCGGCAGUUGUCAGGCAACGAAAAAGGUUUCCGAGGAGGCGUAACAUUAAUCAUGGCACAGGUAUGUGCGAGCGAGGACUCGGGGUCAAAAUCUUUUUUCCUUCUGAAAGAACGAUGAUCCACAAUGGAACUCCUCGGAAUCCUGCUUGCUUGCGCUUACAUCUGAUCGAUCGAAGAAAGGAUCGUCCUGAAAAGUUACCGGCUCCUUUCUACUACCCACCUCGGGGACCUAUUAAAUCUUGGACUCGAAUUCCGAAGGAUCUUGUUCUAAAAGAACCACCGACACGAUAUUUUUCGAGAGAAAUGUUUGUGAAUAGCCGGGCCUCGAAUCCGCGCCGCUUAAACUUGUGUCAAAAUUUUUUUCAAUUUCCUAUUUUAGCCGCUGACACUAUGAAAACAGCGCUUUUUUCUUCUUCGUUCUUCCUUCAACACUUGCCUCUACCGACGACCGCGUAUGAUAUUUCCAAAAAUAUGGUCGACUCCUGCGCCUCGAAUUCACCUUGCGCUACGUUUAAAACAUUGUGAAUGCAUCAUUGGCAAACUCGUCUUUCUUGCGACAAAUCAAAUGUCACGCAAUAUGGAAUUUCUUAAAUAUAGUUUGCGAUUCGACGAUGAGUCGACCGAUUUAAUUGAUUAAUAAGUUUCAUGUUUCCGUCUUUUCUUUCUCUCUCUCUCUCUCUCUCUCUCUCUCUCUCACACACACACACACACAC